GGGGGCGUUUUGGUUUCGACUGUCUGUGGAGGUCAUUUCGUGCAGGGGAGUGUGGGCAUGCACUUUAAAAAGGCCCAAAACCAUAGUUGACAAUGAUAAUGUCAUACCGUUCCCUGUCAUGAGAAAUCAUGAUGUGGAAUUUGCCCUCGCCGCUUAGGUCGGGCACGGGGUUCUUCGGUGACCUUGAUAUCCAACAUCGAAAAUAAAGGUUUGUUUAUUUUCCUUUCCCAAAAGUAAACGGUUUGUUACUAAUGAAGUUACCCUGAUUAAUCAGGUGGCGCGCUAAACUGGUUGGGUGUUUAGCUAUCCCUGUGAAUGACGAAGUGGUUGAAGUGUGGCAGGACGCGGGUUCGAAUCCCGCCGCCUCCAUUG
Molecule: transfer-messenger RNA, 372 nt
Filed under: Alphaproteobacteria (a-proteobacteria)
Lineage: Bacteria; Pseudomonadati; Pseudomonadota
Also listed under: 1 other name
Description: TMED23 sp012960465 Standard tmRNA
Rfam family: transfer-messenger RNA
About the family: Bacterial tmRNA, also known as 10Sa RNA or SsrA, is named for its dual tRNA and mRNA-like properties. Its role is to liberate the mRNA from a stalled ribosome.
Source: RNAcentral